GACGAACGCUGGCGGCGUGCUUAACACAUGCAAGUCGAACGGUAAGGCCCUUCGGGGUACACGAGUGGCGAACGGGUGAGUAACACGUGGGUGAUCUGCCCUGCACUUCGGGAUAAGCCUGGGAAACUGGGUCUAAUACCGGUUAGGACCACUGCCUGCAUGGGUGGUGGUGGAAAGCUUUUGUGGUGUGGGAUGGGCCCGCGGCCUAUCAGCUUGUUGGUGGGGUGAUGGCCUACCACGGCGACGACGGGUAGCCGGCCUGAGAGGGUGACCGGCCACACUGGGACUGAGAUACGGCCCAGACUCCUACGGGAGGCAGCAGUGGGGAAUAUUGCACAAUGGGCGCAAGCCUGAUGCAGCGACGCCGCGUGAGGGAUGACGGCCUUCGGGUUGUAAACCUCUUUCAGCACCGACGAAGCGCAAGUGACGGUAGGUGCAGAAGAAGGACCGGCCAACUACGUGCCAGCCGCCGCCGUAA
This 478-nucleotide ribosomal RNA is filed under the name uncultured bacterium. RNAcentral's name for it is "partial 16S ribosomal RNA". It matches the Rfam family "Bacterial small subunit ribosomal RNA", at positions 28 to 523 of the family's 1533-position model. The record is from RNAcentral.